CUGGGAGUAACUUCGGGAAACCCGGGAAGCUAAUACCGGAUAAUAUCUCGAACCGCAUGGUUCGAUAGUGAAAGGUGGUUUUGCUAUCACUUAUAGAUGGACCCGCGCCGUAUUAGCUAGUUGGUAAGGUAACGGCUUACCAAGGCGACGAUACGUAGCCGACCUGAGAGGGUGAUCGGCCACACUGGAACUUAGACACGGUCCAGACUCCUACGGGAGGCAGCAGGG
RNAcentral lists this ribosomal RNA (228 nucleotides) under uncultured Staphylococcus sp. Its description in RNAcentral is "partial 16S ribosomal RNA". It matches the Rfam family "Bacterial small subunit ribosomal RNA", at positions 137 to 354 of the family's 1533-position model. The record is from RNAcentral. Lineage: Bacteria; Bacillati; Bacillota; Bacilli; Caryophanales; Staphylococcaceae.